AAAAACAUCGCUCUUUGUAAAGAAUACUAAUACAUAAAGAGUCCUGCCUGCCCAGUGACAAUAGUUAAACGGCCGCGGUAUUUUGACCGUGCAAAGGUAGCAUAAUCAUUUGCCUUUUAAAUGGAGGCUGGUAUGAAUGGCAAGACGGGGGUUUAGCUGUCUCUCUUUUAGAAUCUUGAAUUUAUCAUCUUUGUGAAGAGGCAAAGAUAAAAUCGUAGGACGAGAAGACCCUAUCGAGCUUUAAUUAUUAAUUAGGGUUGUUGAGUUCUCGUUUUUGGGGUAAUUUAAAAAUUAAAUUUGUUUUACUUAAAAAUGAGAAUUAACUGCUAAUGAGUUGUUUUGGUUGGGGCAACCGCGGAGAAUAAUAAUCCUCCGCUUUUUAAAUUAAAGAAAAACUACUGUUUUAGAAAAUUUUUUGUUAAAAAAUGAUCCACUAAAAAGUGAUCAAAGGAAUAAGUUACCGUAGGGAUAACAGCGUAAUUUUUUUGGAGAGUUCAUAUUGAUAAAAAAGUUUGCGACCUCGAUGUUGGAUCGGGACUUCCUGGAGGUGCAGCA
Molecule: ribosomal RNA, 555 nt
Filed under: Astropecten jonstoni
Lineage: Eukaryota; Metazoa; Echinodermata; Asteroidea; Paxillosida; Astropectinidae
Description: partial 16S ribosomal RNA
Rfam family: Bacterial large subunit ribosomal RNA
Source: RNAcentral